GUGACGAAGCGACGCCGCGUGUGGGAAGAAGGCCUUCGGGUUGUAAACCACUGUCGGGAGUUAGGAAAUGUAAGGGUGUUAAUAGUAUCCUUACUUGACUAAGGCUCCGGAGGAAGCCACGGCUAACUCUGUGCCAGCAGCCGCGGUAAUACAGAGGCGGCAAGCGUUGUUCGGAAUUAUUGGGCGUAAAGAGCACGUAGGCGGCCUUGUAAGUCAGUUGUGAAAGCCUUCUGCUUAACGGAAGAACAGCAGCUGAUACUGCAAGGCUAGAGUGCGGAAGGGGAGGGUGGAACUUCUGGUGGAGCGGUGAAAUGCGUAGAUAUCAGAAGGAACACCGGCGGCGAAGGCGACUCUCUGGUCCGUAACUGACGCUGAGUGUGCGAAAGCUAGGGGAGCAAACGGGAUUAGAUACCCCGGUAGUCCUAGCCGUAAACGAU
RNAcentral lists this ribosomal RNA (437 nucleotides) under uncultured anaerobic ammonium-oxidizing bacterium. RNAcentral describes it as "bacterial SSU rRNA". It matches the Rfam family "Bacterial small subunit ribosomal RNA", at positions 383 to 810 of the family's 1533-position model. The record is from RNAcentral.